CUACGGGCGGCAGCAGUGGGGAAUAUUGGACAAUGGGCGCAAGCCUGAUCCAGCCAUGCCGCGUGAGUGAUGAAGGCCCUAGGGUUGUAAAGCUCUUUCAACGGUGAAGAUAAUGACGGUAACCGUAGAAGAAGCCCCGGCUAACUUCGUGCCAGCAGCCGCGGUAAUACGAAGGGGGCUAGCGUUGUUCGGAAUAACUGGGCGUAAAGCGCACGUAGGCGGAUUGGAAAGUUAGAGGUGAAAUCCCUGGGCUCAACCCAGGAACUGCCUUUAAAACUAUCAGUCUAGAGGUCAAGAGAGGUGAGUGGAAUUCCGAGUGUAGAGGUGAAAUUCGUAGAUAUUCGGAGGAACACCAGUGGCGAAGGCGGCUCACUGGCUUGAUACUGACGCUGAGGUGCGAAAGUGUGGGGAGCAAACAGGAUUAGAUACCCGCGUAGUC
This 439-nucleotide ribosomal RNA is filed under the name uncultured bacterium. Its description in RNAcentral is "partial 16S ribosomal RNA". It matches the Rfam family "Bacterial small subunit ribosomal RNA", at positions 339 to 795 of the family's 1533-position model. The record is from RNAcentral.